Long non-coding RNA from Erigeron canadensis, 3373 nucleotides. RefSeq lists it as uncharacterized. Lineage: Eukaryota; Viridiplantae; Streptophyta; Magnoliopsida; Asterales; Asteraceae. The record is from RefSeq and is a predicted model, not a curated record. The transcript has 5 exons.
UACCGUCAUGCCCUUUGGUGGCGAUUCCUCUUGAACCGCUGGAAUCCCUUUGGGUGCGAAAUCUGGGCUUUGGGAAUUUUGCCGGUUAAUUGGGUCUUUUUUUUUUCUCGACAACCUGAACUACUGAUGGUUAGGUUGAGUGUUGUAUUCUUCAAUUGAAACAGAUAACAAACAGGUGUGUUGAACCAUCGUGUUGUUUCAUGGUGCUUCUUUGCGACAAGUUUAAUGAUAAACUCAGGUUCCGCCUUUUAUAAGUUAUAGCCAUUGAAAUUUGACUUCUAUGUGUCUUUUUUUGUAAUCUUAUUCAAAAGUAACUGAACACACAUUAGGAAAGAGGGAAUUAAUCUCUUUGACAAGUCUAGACUCUAGGUCAUCAAAAGUAUGGAUGAUCAUAUGUGAAACAUCAUCAGCUGCCUGAGGAGUUUCCAUGAGGAACUUAGACGAAGGAUCAUUUGGUUUUGUGUGUCGUCAGGUAGAUCUCGAAAACAGAUUCCUUCCAUUCAAGGAAUCCAAUAAAUUUCCAUGUCAAGAUACCCACCUAUUAAAUCAUUUUCAUCGCCAUUGGGGUGAUAGCCUAGUGGUCAGGGAGUUUUCCACUUUGUGGUUCCUUUCUAGGGGGUCAAGGGUUUGAAUCCUGCCACAUGCAAUUGUGGUGAAGGGGCCUUAGCAACGCUAUACCCAUCUACACAUGGGAGAGCAAACCCUUUAGGGCGUUGCCAGGGUUCGAACCCAGUGUGGGCGCACCAAAGUUGGGGGUGUUAUCCAUUUAUCCGCUAGUGUUUAAAAAAAAAUUUCAAUUUCAUCUGCAAAAAUAUUGCUAGGUUGUUACUUUUGUUUCUUUGUUAUGAAAAACAAAUAUUUCACACAUAUCACCACAUAUUUACACGCGUGUCUCCAACAAGAAAUCCUCUUGGGUGUAGGGUUACCUUGAAUACUACUAGGCCUUUUGUUUCUAGAUCGAUUAAUUACAAUAUAAUGAUUUGUGCUUUAGGAAACUAGGACUAUGACAGGCCUGACCUUCAACCGGGACAAGUCCUUUCUCCAUCAGAACAUUCACUAGGUAAAAGCCCAUGAACCCACAAGCAGCCAUGGUCCAAAAGGAUGAUAGGGACUUUGAACAUCUCAAAAGCGUUAAUCACAUUUGUGUAAGUCAUGAAAGCAUCCAAGAUGAUACAAGUGACUGGAGUUCAAGUGUAGAUACAAGAUCAAUCAAGGAAUUAUGAAAAGUAGUUCCAAGGUGGCUCCAAAGUUCUUCAAUUGGUUGAGUAUAUUCAACAUCAUCAUCCGUAGCAGCAGGACGACCAUUAGAACUGUUUUGAACUGAAAUUCUGUAGCUUGGGCAAGGAAGCUAGUCCCUCCGAACUUGAGGGGUCGUUUAUGGUUGGACUGGAUGUUGAUAAAGGUUAUUUGGAAUGCCUUGUGGUGUAGUAGUUUUAGCUUGAGCAUACACUUGACGUGGCUUUGUGCUGGAUACAGAACGAAUAGUACAUGAGGCUGCUUCUGAUUAGUCAUGGGCACUGCAUGCAUCCAUCUGACGAGUGAGUGUUGCUUCGUCUCGUUUGGGUGCAAUAGCUCUAUCAAGCUUUCUUUUAUAAUGUUUAUAAUAUCAAAGUCGUAGAAAAUCUUAUUAUGGAGAAGUGCUUGAAAUUAGAUUAAACUUGUCGAUCGAUCUUCCUUGUAUUCUUUAUAUGAAACUUAUAAUACAUUGUUAUUGUAUGUGUCUAAUUAUCUUAUAAUUCUGCUUGUGAAUAAGGUAUGUGGAAAUUCUAACAAAAAUCACAAUUUGUAAACCGUCUAAAUUGUUGAUUUAUUUGUAUGAUUCUAUCAGUUAGCAGACUAGGAGAAUAUUAAAUAAAUUGUGUAAAAUUAAGAGAAAAAAAAAGUAACAGAGCAUGCCCUUGUUUAAAAGUUCUAUAGAUUGUUAAAGCUACCACUAGUCUUGCCCGUUGCAACAACAACAGUUGAGAGAUGCUUUUCUGCAAUGAAGCUUGUGAAGUCAGAUUUGUGCAACCGAAUUGGUGAUGAGUUUUUGAACUCUUGUGUAAUUUGUACCAUAGAAAAAGAAGUACUUGCUAGUGUUAAAAUUGAAGAUGUAAUGGCUCGAUUCCACAAGUUGGGGAAACGUUGAGGCAAAUUCUAGGAAGUUAACUUGGUUCUCAUGGUUUAAGUUCUAGCUUAUUGAUCAUGGUUUAAUGAAGUUGAUCAUUUUGGUUUUUCUUUAGUUAGUUUUUUUUUUAUCGUUUUAAUACUGUUUUGUUUGCUUUUUUGGGGGUUCUUUGAAGGCUCUUUGGGAGCUGUUUGUAAGCUGUUUUAACUGCUGAUAGGGGGGUUGUUUGAAGGCCGUUUGGAGGAUGUAUUUAAGCUGUUUUAACUGCUCUUUGGAGCGCUCUUUGCCUGCUGUUUGAAUGCUGUUUUCUGCAGAUUUUCAUGGCUAUAUUGAGAUAUGGAGAUCUUUUUGAGGCCAAUGUUGCUGUUGUUUUGAAGCUAUGUUGUUGUUUUCGUUGCUCACAAGUCACAAGUCACCAAGGCAAAAUUAAACUCAGUGUCAUGCUUCUUUAUAUACCCAACUCCAAAUCUAGAAGUACUUAUAUAUGUGGGAAGGAUGAAUACAAUAUUAUUGUUGUGGGUAAGAAAUUGUGGGAAAGACGUAAUGAAAGCUGACGUGGCAUAAGAAUUAGGCUGUUUGUGGGACGGACGACAUCAACUGAUGCGGGUAGUCUUACAACAUGUUGAUUUGUGCUUUCGGAAAUUAAGGACUAUGAAAAGCCUAACCUUCUAUCGGGACAAGUCUUUUCCCCAUCAGAACCUUCACUUGGUAAAUCCCCAUGAACCCACAUGGGACCAUGGUCUAGAAAAGGACGAUAGGGACUUUGAACAUCUCGGCAGUGUUAAUCACAUUCGUGUAAGUGAUGAAAGUAUCCAAGAUGAUACAAGUUACUGGAGUUUCGAGUGCAGAUACAAGAUCAAUCAAGGAAUCAUGAAUUAGUUCCAAGCAGGAAGACCAUCAGGAACUGUUUUGAACUGAAAAUCUGAAGCUAGGGCAAGGAAGCUAGUCCAUCCGAAUUUCAGGAGUCGUUUAUGGUUGGACUGGAUGUUGAUAAAGGUUAUCUCCAAUCCCUUGUGGUGUAGUAGUUUGGCUUGCUUAAUUAAGCACACACUUGACGUUGGGCCACAACCAAAAAUUGAGGAAGCCCCAGGCCCAUGAUCCACAAGUUCUAAAUUCCUAAAUUUUGGUUACAAUUCACAGUUUCACACGCACAACAUACUGUAUUUUGUUUACCCUCGAAACUCGUUACGCCUGUUAGUCUAUGGCAGAGACAUAUUCCCGUUUUAUGAUACAAUAGUAAAAUUUGAAAGUUUGAUAAAAGUUUAA